RNAcentral lists this long non-coding RNA (579 nucleotides) under Anser cygnoides (Swan goose). RNAcentral's name for it is "lncRNA (ENSACDG00005014540.1)". The record is from RNAcentral. Lineage: Eukaryota; Metazoa; Chordata; Aves; Anseriformes; Anatidae.
GGGGGGGGCGCGGCGGGGCCCCAGCCCUGAGCCGCCUGUGCCCGUGCCAGGUCGGGGAGAAGACGCCCGAGUCCCAGCGGCAGGCGUGCGCGGGGCACCUGCCGGCCAUCAGAGCCUUCUUCAGGGAGGCCAGCGUGGUGCUGAGCGCCCGGCGCGCCGAGGAGGUGACCCAGGAGGGGCUGAGCCGCGCUCUGGCCCAGCUGGCCCCCGCCGCGGCCCCCCCGGCCAGGAGGGCCCCCCCGGCCGACACCGAGGAGCUGGUGGGCACCAACUACCGCAAGACGAACCCGGCGCUGGAGAUCCGCCGGACGCAGCGGGACUCCUUCUGGGCGCAGGCCGAGCGCGAAGAGGAGCAGCGCAAGGAGGAGGAGCGGCGGCGGCUGCUGGAGGAGCGGCGGCGGUGGGAGCGGGAGCGGAUGGAGGAGGAGAGGCGGGAGGCGGCCGAGCGCGAGCAGCGCUUCAGGGAGAAGGAGCGGCUGAUCGAGGAGCACCGGAAGGAGCAGGCGCGGCUGGAGGCGGAGGAGCGGAGGAAGGAGAAAGCCCGCUGGGUGAGCGGGGACGGGGACGGGGCACGGGGGG